This 646-nucleotide ribosomal RNA is filed under the name Acinetobacter baumannii. RNAcentral describes it as "partial 23S ribosomal RNA". It matches the Rfam family "Bacterial large subunit ribosomal RNA", at positions 1 to 698 of the family's 2925-position model. The record is from RNAcentral. Lineage: Bacteria; Pseudomonadati; Pseudomonadota; Gammaproteobacteria; Moraxellales; Moraxellaceae.
AGUCAAGUAAUUAAGUGCAUGUGGUGGAUGCCUUGGCAGUCAGAGGCGAUGAAAGACGUGAUAGCCUGCGAAAAGCUCCGGGGAGGCGGCAAAUAUCCUUUGAUCCGGAGAUGUCUGAAUGGGGGAACCCACCUACUUUAAGGUAGGUAUUGCAACAUGAAUACAUAGUGUUGCAAGGCGAACGAGGGGAAGUGAAACAUCUCAGUACCCUUAGGAAAAGAAAUCAAUUGAGAUUCCCUCAGUAGCGGCGAGCGAACGGGGAUCAGCCCAUUAAGUUAUGUGUGUUUUAGUGGAACGCUCUGGGAAGUGCGAACGUAGAGGGUGAUAUUCCCGUACACGAAAGGGCACACAUAAUGAUGACGAGUAGGGCGAGGCACGUGAAACCUUGUCUGAAUAUGGGGGGACCAUCCUCCAAGGCUAAAUACUCCUGACUGACCGAUAGUGAACCAGUACCGUGAGGGAAAGGCGAAAAGAACCCCUGUGAGGGGAGUGAAAUAGAUCCUGAAACCGCAUGCAUACAAGCAGUGGGAGCACCUUCGUGGUGUGACUGCGUACCUUUUGUAUAAUGGGUCAGCGACUUAUAUUCAGUAGCGAGGUUAACCGUAUAGGGGAGCCGUAGAGAAAUCGAGUCUUAAUAGGGCGUUUA